CAGAGGGUGCAAGCGUUGUUCGGAAUCACUGGGCGUAAAGCGCGCGCAGGUGGGUAUGCAAGUCUGCAAGUGAAAUCCAGCCGCUCAACGGCUGGGCUGCUUCGGAUACUACAUGUCUAGGGACCGGUAGAGGCUGGUAGAAUUGCAGGUGUAGCGGUGGAAUGCGUAGAGAUCUGCAAGAAUACCCGUGGCGAAGGCGGCCAGCUGGGCCGGGUCCGACACUGAGGCGCGAAAGCGUGGGGAGCAAACAGGAUUAGAUACCCUGGUAGUCCACGCCGUAAACGAUGGGCACUAGGUGCCGGGGGGAGCGACCCCUUCGGUGCCGCAGCUAACGCGAUAAGUGCCCCGCCUGGGAAGUACGGCCGCAAGGCUG
RNAcentral lists this ribosomal RNA (373 nucleotides) under uncultured organism. RNAcentral describes it as "bacterial SSU rRNA". It matches the Rfam family "Bacterial small subunit ribosomal RNA", at positions 526 to 896 of the family's 1533-position model. The record is from RNAcentral.